Acanthopagrus latus (yellowfin seabream) is the source of this 1151-nucleotide long non-coding RNA. RefSeq lists it as uncharacterized. The transcript is spliced from 5 exons. The record is from RefSeq and is a predicted model, not a curated record. NCBI's taxonomy places the organism in Eukaryota, Metazoa, Chordata, Actinopteri, Spariformes, Sparidae.
CGCUAACCUACACUUACCAAGGGUUUCGUGUUUGAUCAGGCCAUCGAACAGAGAAGCGUAACAGUACUGGAGAAAUUUAACUAACUUAACGUUAAAUUAACAUCUACUAGAACACGCAUGGCUGUUCAAAAAAUUAGGUUUUGACAGGCUAGAUCCAGUGCAGGCCAUCCACCCAGGAAAACACCAUGGACUCUCUUCUUCUGGGUAUUAGCUCUCGUCACUCUUUGGCUGUGCACUUUGCAGCUCCUCGAUCAGUGCUGGAAGAAAAAAAAAACCCAGAGAAAUACAUUGAGCUGGCCAGGAGAAGCAGCAGAAAAAAGAGAAGCACUGAGACACUGAAGGAAACAGAAUAGCAGCAAUCAGAAACUAAAGGGAUAAAAAUUCUGAAGAUACCAUCACCCCACCCUGUGCAACGAUGGAGAGGUCCUUGUGUGACAGGCUGUUUCACCCGUACCACACCCUUCACGUGUUUGAAGAAGUUAAGUCGCAGGUCAUGUCUUCCUGCUGCUGUUAGAUUGUACAACCAGCGCUGCUCCCAUUAGACCACACACACAAACACACACUAAAUUGACUUCAAACUGUGAUAUUUCAUUAUCCAAAUGUGCUGUUUCUGCAUCUCAAUAUGAGAUGGUGUAAGUAUUCUUCUCAGUGUGCAAUAGUCUUUAUCUUUUUUUUGUGUGUGUAUAAUUUAUGUUGUUUAUAUUCUUUCUACAGCUUUUUAACUUAUACUUGUACAGUAUAUACUUUUAACUCUUUAUACUACUGUUUUAAUUGAUGUUCUCUAUUUUUGUUAUCCCUUUUUGCUGCUAGAAUAUUGCAAAUUCCCCCAUUGAGGGACUAAUGAAGGAUUAUCCUAUUUUUAUAGGUUACCUGACAUACAGACUGUAACAGAGGUUCAGUGAGUUCAUUGUCGGGAGGGCAUGGAAUAUCUAAUGCCUUCAGACUACAUGAUGAUGCAUAUAGUUGCAGGGCCUCAUCAUGGCAGGAUGUUGCAUUGAAGCAGAGGACCAAAAGUCAUCAUAGCAUGGGCCACCCAUUGGCUCAGUUGGUAGAGCAAGCGUCCCAUAUAAAGAGGCUGCGUCCUCGCUGCAGCGGCCCUGGGUUCAAGUCCCCGCUGGGGAUGUCACCUUCCUCUCUCUCACCCUGUUUUC